This 810-nucleotide ribosomal RNA is filed under the name uncultured bacterium. RNAcentral describes it as "bacterial SSU rRNA". It matches the Rfam family "Bacterial small subunit ribosomal RNA", at positions 8 to 796 of the family's 1533-position model. The record is from RNAcentral.
AGAGUUUGAUCCUGGCUCAGAACGAACGCUGGCGGCGUGCUUAACACAUGCAAGUCGAACGUGAUCCGGAGCUUGCUCCGGUGAAAGUGGCGCACGGGUGAGUAACGCGUGGAUAAUCUGCCCUGGUAUCUGGGAUAACAUCUCGAAAGGGGUGCUAAUACCGGAUAAGCCUACGGGAUCCUCGGAUUCUGCAGGAAAAGGUGGCCUCUAUUUAUAAGCUACCGUAUCAGGAUGAGUCCGCGUACCAUUAGCUAGUUGGUGGGGUAAUGGCCCACCAAGGCUACGAUGGUUAGCUGGUCUGAGAGGAUGAUCAGCCACACUGGAACUGAGACACGGUCCAGACUCCUACGGGAGGCAGCAGUGGGGAAUUUUGCGCAAUGGAAGAAAGCCUGACGCAGCAACGCCGCGUGGGUGAUGAAGGUCUUCGGAUCGUAAAACCCUGUCGUCGGGGACGAAGGUGGGCUUGUUAAUAGCGAGUUUACUUGACGGUACCCGGAGAGGAAGCCCCGGCUAACUCUGUGCCAGCAGCCGCGGUAAUACAGAGGGGGCAAGCGUUAUUCGGAAUUAUUGGGCGUAAAGGGUGCGUAGGCGGUCGUUUAAGUAGGAUGUGUAAUCCCCGGGCUUAACCUGGGAACGGCAUUUGAAACUGGCGGACUAGAGUUUAGUAGAGGGGAGUGGAAUUUCAGGUGUAGCGGUGAAAUGCGUAGAUAUCUGAAGGAACACCAGUGGCGAAGGCGACUCCCUGGACUAGAACUGACGCUGAGGUACGAAAGCGUGGGUAGCAAACAGGAUUAGAUACCCUGGUAGUCC